UCACUGACACUGCAUACCUGAUCAGU
Molecule: non-coding RNA, 26 nt
Filed under: Rattus norvegicus (Norway rat)
Lineage: Eukaryota; Metazoa; Chordata; Mammalia; Rodentia; Muridae
Source: RNAcentral